AAAAUUCGAAUCCUAAAAAGACACUGAAAACAUAACAAACACAGAUCUCAGAUUGUCCGAUUCGGAUACAAUUCUGAUUCUGUUUUGAGCAGAAACUUUCAUGGGAAGAGAGGAAAAUCACUUUUCAUUUUAACUGACAUUGAAUAAAUUUAAUUAAAAGUACAUUUAAAAAUGGAGAAGUGCAAUGAUAGAAUGCUAACAAGUGUGGCCAAGUACCUAUGUAUGUGCUGUUCAUGUAGAGUGUGUAGAACCAGUGACGGAAAGCUACGGUUGGCAAUAUAAAGUUUAAAUUAAAUUGGUUGGCGGUUGGCGCAUGGGCACCGCGAUUGCAUACAGAUACAUGUAUCUCUGCAGCUAUGCCGUGAUUGAACACUUUAAAUUUAACGAAAUAUUAGCUUGAAGGAGGCAUAGAAGAUAAUUUGGAUGGAAGUGGACACUAUCAAUCACGUAGUUGAUAACAAGGAUUUUCAACAGCAUUCUGAAGCCUAAUCUGAACCGAAUGUCGAUAUUGAAGGCAUUAAAGUAUUUAAAUUUGCUUCAAAGGAGUAAACACAUUCCGUUCAUUCCAUUGCCAUUUUCGAGUUGUAUGUUUUCCAGGAGCGAGCUCCAGCAAUAUGUCGGUCAGAGGAGAAAUGCAUGCUUAUAUUUGAUAGCAAAUUAAUCCGAAGCACCGCUCACGGGAUCACACCUAUGAGGCUGUUCUACACAAUUAAUUUAUUGCUAAUUUUCAUUCAUGGGACAUUUCGCAACACUGAGUUAAACGCUUUGCAGACAGUGGAAGUUCUCAUGUGACAAAUGUGAGCGAACAUCUAAUUAAUUGAUUCGCCUAUUCCAACCGGUCGUGAUAGACACGAUGGAAGCAAAAAUUCGUUUCGAGCAAAUAUAGAAGACAUAUAUUAGCCUGAUGAAGAAAAGCUCAUUAUGUUUAGUAUAUUUAUAAAUUUUUCUGACAAUAAAAAUGUAUCAUUGACGACAAUGGCUGCCACGGACUCCCCGAAAGAUAGCUUUGUUCUUACAGUGAGAAAGUCUUGUGGGGAAGUCGUUGACACCAGACACUUCGUUUUUUUUGCCGAAAUAAUGAUAACAAUCAAAAUCACUCAUGUCUAUGUAUACUUACUGUUUUAUUUUUAGUUACAUAAGGAAAAAGAAAAAAGUGAUUUCAAACGGACACUGAAUAUUGUAAUCCUUGAAAUAUGGGUCACGAGAUGAAAAUGAUUUCUUUCGCCAGCAUGCUACCAAAACACGUAUUCAUGUAUUUUGGGUACGAAUUGAUAUGAUAGAGUUGAAGACCAAUUGAGCGCAACGAUCUAGGACAUUAAAUAAAUUACCCUGGUGGAUAUACAUAGCCAAAAACCUACCCCAUAAGUGUUUUCGCAGGAAUUGGGGAACUGCAGUUUUACACUCUCGCGUGGGGAUCAAUCGCACUAACCGUGUAAUGUGGAGAGUGUUGGAGGAUAGCACUAACGUUGCAUUUUAAUCGAGUGGAGUGGAAAGCCAAUGGAGAAGUUAUGCCAAAGUAGAAAAUUGAAUAGGCUGGCGGUGCAACUCUUGAAUAGUUCUAUGCACCUAUGAGAAUGCAAAUCAAAUUGAC
RNAcentral lists this long non-coding RNA (1591 nucleotides) under Hermetia illucens (black soldier fly). RNAcentral's name for it is "uncharacterized LOC119646284, transcript variant X3". Lineage: Eukaryota; Metazoa; Arthropoda; Insecta; Diptera; Stratiomyidae. The record is from RNAcentral.